RNAcentral lists this transfer RNA (71 nucleotides) under Strongylocentrotus purpuratus (purple sea urchin). Its description in RNAcentral is "tRNA-Gly (GCC) (tRNA-Gly-GCC-6-1)". It matches the Rfam family "tRNA". From Rfam's summary of the family: Transfer RNA (tRNA) molecules are approximately 80 nucleotides in length. Their secondary structure includes four short double-helical elements and three loops (D, anti-codon, and T loops). Further hydrogen bonds mediate the characteristic L-shaped molecular structure. tRNAs have two regions of fundamental functional importance: the anti-codon, which is responsible for specific mRNA codon recognition, and the 3' end, to which the tRNAs corresponding amino acid is attached (by aminoacyl-tRNA synthetases). tRNAs cope with the degeneracy of the genetic code in two manners: having more than one tRNA (with a specific anti-codon) for a particular amino acid; and 'wobble' base-pairing, i.e. permitting non-standard base-pairing at the 3rd anti-codon position. The record is from Rfam by way of RNAcentral. Lineage: Eukaryota; Metazoa; Echinodermata; Echinoidea; Camarodonta; Strongylocentrotidae.
GCAUCGGUGGUUCAGUGGUAGGAUUCUCGCCUGCCACGCGGGUGACCCGGGUUCGAUUCCCGGCCGAUGCA